RNAcentral lists this ribosomal RNA (431 nucleotides) under uncultured bacterium. Its description in RNAcentral is "partial 16S ribosomal RNA". It matches the Rfam family "Bacterial small subunit ribosomal RNA", at positions 29 to 507 of the family's 1533-position model. The record is from RNAcentral.
AACGAACGCUGGCGGCAGGCUUAACACAUGCAAGUCGAACGCCCCGCAAGGGGAGUGGCCGACGGGUGCGUAACGCGUGGGAAUCUACCCAUCCCUACGGAAUAACGCAUGGAAACGUGUGCUAAUACCGUAUACGCCCUACGGGGGAAAGAUUUAUCGGGGAUGGAUGAGCCCGCGUUGGAUUAGCUAGUUGGUGGGGUAAAGGCCUACCAAGGCGACGAUCCAUAGCUGGUCUGAGAGGAUGAUCAGCCACAUUGGGACUGAGACACGGCCCAAACUCCUACGGGAGGCAGCAGUGGGGAAUAUUGGACAAUGGGCGCAAGCCUGAUCCAGCCAUGCCGCGUGAGUGAUGAAGGCCUUAGGGUUGUAAAGCUCUUUCACCGGAGAAGAUAAUGACGGUAUCCGGAGAAGAAGCCCCGGCUAACUUCGUG